GGCCUCCCAAAGUGCUGGGAUUACAGGCAUGAGCCCCCACUCCCGGCCAACAAUACAUUCUUUAAUAAUAAGUAAUAAACAUUUUUAAAUACAUUUAAUACUUUUAAUAAUACUAAAAUUAAUUUAAAUAAUAAUUUUAAUAUUUUAAUAAUAUCUCAAAUAUUUUCAACAUGUCAAUAUGUAUAUAGCCUAGCAUUUGGUUGGAGAAGGUGUAUUUCUUUUGCGUACGUGUUAGAGUUGGGAAAAUAGAGAACAAUGUAUGGUUACAAUAUAUUGUAAAUAUGGUUGAAAAUGUGGUUGUAAUCAUCAAUUGACUAUCACAAUUCUUUCAAUUACAAAAUAGUUUGUGAACAUGCCAUACAAAUAAAAAGUAGUACUACUAAGUAUAAAAUUCCAAACAUCUUGGGGCUACCUGUUAAAAUUCACCCUGUACUCUUGAAAGCAAACAUGCAUCUAAAUAAACUAAAAUAAAGAUUUUACUACA
RNAcentral lists this long non-coding RNA (484 nucleotides) under Pongo abelii (Sumatran orangutan). RNAcentral's name for it is "lincRNA". The record is from RNAcentral. Lineage: Eukaryota; Metazoa; Chordata; Mammalia; Primates; Hominidae.